GACGAACGCUGGCGGCGUGCUUAACACAUGCAAGUCGAACGGAAAGGCCCUGCUUUUGUGGGGUGCUCGAGUGGCGAACGGGUGAGUAACACGUGAGUAACCUGCCCUUGACUUUGGGAUAACUUCAGGAAACUGGGGCUAAUACCGGAUAGGAGCUCCUGCUGCAUGGUGGGGGUUGGAAAGUUUCGGUGGUUGGGGAUGGACUCGCGGCUUAUCAGCUUGUUGGUGGGGCAGUGGCUUACCAAGGCUUUGACGGGUAGCCGGCCUGAGAGGGUGACCGGCCACAUUGGGACUGAGAUACGGCCCAGACUCCUACGGGAGGCAGCAGUGGGGAAUAUUGCACAAUGGGCGGAAGCCUGAUGCAGCAACGCCGCGUGCGGGAUGACGGCCUUCGGGUUGUAAACCGCUUUCGCCUGUGACGAAGCGUGAGUGACGGUAAUGGGUAAAGAAGCACCGGCUAACUACGUG
RNAcentral lists this ribosomal RNA (468 nucleotides) under uncultured bacterium. Its description in RNAcentral is "partial 16S ribosomal RNA". It matches the Rfam family "Bacterial small subunit ribosomal RNA", at positions 28 to 507 of the family's 1533-position model. The record is from RNAcentral.